CCUACGGGAGGCUGCAGUAGGGAAUAUUGCACAAUGGGGGAAACCCUGAAGCAGCAACGCCGCGUGGAGGAUGAAGGUUUUAGGAUCGUAAACUCCUUUUGUGAGAGAAGAAAAUGACGGUAUCUCACGAAUAAGCACCGGCUAACUCCGUGCCAGCAGCCGCGGUAAUACGGAGGGUGCAAGCGGUACCCGGAAUCACUGGGCGUAAAGAGGGCGCAGGCGGGGUUGUAAGGCGGAUGUGAAAGCCUGUAGCCAAAACACAGGACUGCAUUUGAAACUAGUGGUCUAGAGUGUGGGAGGGGUAGGUGGAAUUCUUGGUGUAGGGGUAAAAUCCGUAGAUAUCAAGAGGAAUACUCAGUGCGAAGGCGACCUACUGGAACCUUACUGACGCUCAUGCACGAAAGCGUGGGGAGCAAACAGGAUUAGAUACCCAGUAGUC
RNAcentral lists this ribosomal RNA (439 nucleotides) under uncultured bacterium. RNAcentral's name for it is "partial 16S ribosomal RNA". It matches the Rfam family "Bacterial small subunit ribosomal RNA", at positions 338 to 795 of the family's 1533-position model. The record is from RNAcentral.